Molecule: ribosomal RNA, 253 nt
Filed under: uncultured bacterium
Lineage: Bacteria
Description: partial 16S ribosomal RNA
Rfam family: Bacterial small subunit ribosomal RNA
Source: RNAcentral
UACGUAGGGCGCAAGCGUUAUCCGGAAUUAUUGGGCGUAAAGAGCUCGUAGGCGGUUUGUCGCGUCUGCUGUGAAAGACCGGGGCUCAACCUGGGAAUGGCAUUGGAAACUGGCGAGCUAGAGUGUGGCAGAGGGGGGUGGAAUUCCGCGUGUAGCAGUGAAAUGCGUAGAGAUGCGGAGGAACACCGAUGGCGAAGGCAGCCCCCUGGGCUGACACUGACGCUCAGGCACGAAAGCGUGGGGAGCAAACAGG